Anneissia japonica is the source of this 182-nucleotide long non-coding RNA. RefSeq lists it as uncharacterized. The transcript has 2 exons. Lineage: Eukaryota; Metazoa; Echinodermata; Crinoidea; Comatulida; Comatulidae. The record is from RefSeq and is a predicted model, not a curated record.
UCGGGUUGGACUGCAGAUAUUCUCAAUGGUAGUAUUACCAGAAUAAGUAUAGGUGGUUUUGUGUUGUUUUUGUUUUUGUGUAAAGACUGAGUAACUUGAUUGUUGAAUUGCCGCAAUUUACAACAGCGUAUAAAAAAUACAAUGCCUGAUGAAUCCUUGCCGGCAGAAGGGAUUGAUUACAA